RNAcentral lists this transfer RNA (69 nucleotides) under Nanorana yunnanensis (Yunan spiny frog). Its description in RNAcentral is "tRNA-Met". It matches the Rfam family "tRNA". From Rfam's summary of the family: Transfer RNA (tRNA) molecules are approximately 80 nucleotides in length. Their secondary structure includes four short double-helical elements and three loops (D, anti-codon, and T loops). Lineage: Eukaryota; Metazoa; Chordata; Amphibia; Anura; Dicroglossidae. The record is from RNAcentral.
AGUAAAGUAUACUAACUAAGCUCUUGGGCCCAUACCCCAACAAUGUGGGUUAAAACCCCUCCUUUACUU